RNAcentral lists this ribosomal RNA (275 nucleotides) under Escherichia coli. RNAcentral describes it as "partial 16S ribosomal RNA". It matches the Rfam family "Bacterial small subunit ribosomal RNA", at positions 1 to 272 of the family's 1533-position model. Lineage: Bacteria; Pseudomonadati; Pseudomonadota; Gammaproteobacteria; Enterobacterales; Enterobacteriaceae. The record is from RNAcentral.
AAAUUGAAGAGUUUGAUCAUGGCUCAGAUUGAACGCUGGCGGCAGGCCUAACACAUGCAAGUCGAACGGUAACAGGAAGAAGCUUGCUUCUUUGCUGACGAGUGGCGGACGGGUGAGUAAUGUCUGGGAAACUGCCUGAUGGAGGGGGAUAACUACUGGAAACGGUAGCUAAUACCGCAUAACGUCGCAAGACCAAAGAGGGGGACCUUCGGGCCUCUUGCCAUCGGAUGUGCCCAGAUGGGAUUAGCUAGUAGGUGGGGUAACGGCUCACCUAG